GUCCAGGGGCGGGAAUCGAACCCACAACCUUCUGCUUACCGGGCAGUUGCCAUGUCCAUUAGGCUACCCUGGG
RNAcentral lists this transfer RNA (73 nucleotides) under Cordylochernes scorpioides. Its description in RNAcentral is "tRNA-Thr". The record is from RNAcentral. Lineage: Eukaryota; Metazoa; Arthropoda; Arachnida; Pseudoscorpiones; Chernetidae.